GGAAGCGUGGUCUAAUGGUAUGAUACUGUGCGAUGGAUCACUUCAUUCGCUUGUGUGGUCCAUCUCUCGCUUCGCACAGUGAUGUUGGUUCGAAUCCAGUCGCGUCCA
Non-coding RNA from Elasticomyces elasticus, 108 nucleotides. The record is from the annotation of a GenBank genome assembly. Lineage: Eukaryota; Fungi; Ascomycota; Dothideomycetes; Mycosphaerellales; Teratosphaeriaceae.